Molecule: ribosomal RNA, 1133 nt
Filed under: Paradiplozoon sp. 1 AT-2016
Lineage: Eukaryota; Metazoa; Platyhelminthes; Monogenea; Mazocraeidea; Diplozoidae
Description: eukaryotic LSU rRNA
Rfam family: Eukaryotic large subunit ribosomal RNA
Source: RNAcentral
CUUUGACUGUUGGCAUGUGGUGUUUAGGCUGGCAUGCUCCAAUGCUUCGUUGUGCUAAGUCCAUUCUUGAAUAUGGCUAGAUAUCUGGCCCAAAGAUGGUGAACUGUCCGUUUGCACAGUGAGGUUUUGGGUCAAUGUCAGCUUUGGAGUCGGGUUGUUUGUGAAUGCAGCCCAAAGUUGGUGGUAAACUCCAUCUAAGGCUAAAUACUGGCACGAGUCCGAUAGCGAACAAGUACCGUGAGGGAAAGUUGAAAAGUACUCUGAAGAGAGAGUUAACAGUGCGUGAAACCGCUUAGAAGUAAACUGGUGUAGUCAAGCUGCAAGCCUUUAGAAGUUAGUUGGUCAGAAUGACGUAAGUCUGAGCGUUGAGCCGUUGUCAGGUCCAUCGUAAUGGUGGGUUCGCCUUUUUCGAAAGGUGGAUAUGUGGUGCGAAUCUCGUUGCUGCGUACCUGGCGCCGGUUGCUCUGCUGACCCGCUUAUUUUCUGUUGGCGUUCGUCACGACCGCUGUUGCUGCCAGUCUGCUCCACCUAAACCGUUACGUGAUUAGUUAUUACUUUUUGCGUUUCGGGGGCAGGUUUUCCGGUCCGUUUGUAAAAAUGGCUGGAUGUUGAAGCCGGGUGGUGUGGUGCUUGUAAACUGUGCGGUGCAGUGGUACAGCGGCAGGUUGUGUUGUGCCCUGGGUGUGCUAAAGUCGUGUCUGCAUUGUUGUUGUAUGACCGUUUGUUGCUGUCUCUGAUAGCCUUUCGGUUGCAAUGACGUGCGGAUUUCGCGGCUGCAUCUGGCAAACCAUUACGCUGUGCCUAUAGUCUGUGACUUAGUGGUAGACGAUUCACCUGACCCGUCUUGAAACACGGACCAAGGAGUUUAACUUGUGCGCGAGUCAAUGGGUGCCCUGGUGCAUACGAAACCCAUAGGCGUAGUGAAAGUAAUGGAGAGCAAGUGUCCCUGUGACGUUUGUUCGCCAUGGUGAGAUCUGACUGUUUCUCUAGAAAUUUGUUCAACAGAAUCUAGUGCAGUUGGCGCAUCACCGGCCUGUCCCAUGAUGUAGUAUGGGCUGCCAUGCACAUUGGGGCAGAGCAUGAGCGUACAUGUGAGACCCGAAGAAUAUGUUGUGUAACACAUAAUUGACAGG